ACCCUCCAGAUCCCUCCCCCUCAGAUCUAAACAUCGGUCUGGUUGGCUACAAAGGGAGGAAAAGUAAAACUGAAAUGGAUGUGGUUUCUUAUGUAGCAAACAAGUUCCUUUCAAAGACCA
This 120-nucleotide small nucleolar RNA is filed under the name Echinops telfairi (small Madagascar hedgehog). RNAcentral describes it as "Small nucleolar RNA SNORA61 (ENSETEG00000025497.1)". Lineage: Eukaryota; Metazoa; Chordata; Mammalia; Afrosoricida; Tenrecidae. The record is from RNAcentral.